RNAcentral lists this ribosomal RNA (1346 nucleotides) under uncultured bacterium. RNAcentral's name for it is "bacterial SSU rRNA". It matches the Rfam family "Bacterial small subunit ribosomal RNA", at positions 27 to 1393 of the family's 1533-position model. The record is from RNAcentral.
GGAUGAACGCUGGCGGCGUGCUUAAGACAUGCAAGUCGAACGAGGGCACUUUGUAGCAAUACGGAGUGUUCCUAGUGGCGAAUGGGUGCGCAACACGUAGGUGACCUGCCCCGAAGUGGGGGAUAACAGUCCGAAAGGAUUGCUAAUACCGCAUGUGGUCCUGGAAGUUAGAGGUUCCAGGUCUAAAGUUGCAAAACGCUUCGGGAGGGGCCUGCGGCCCAUCAGGUAGUUAGUAGGGUAACGGCCUACCAAGCCAACGACGGGUAGGGGGCCUGAGAGGGUGAUCCCCCACACUGGCACUGACACACGGGCCAGACUCCUACGGGAGGCAGCAGUCGGGAAUAUUGCACAAUGGGCGAAAGCCUGAUGCAGCAACGCCGCGUGCGCGAUGAAGGCCUUCGGGUUGUAAAGCGCUUUUCGGGGGGAUGAGGAAGGACAGUACCCCCGGAAUAAGUCACGGCUAACUACGUGCCAGCAGCCGCGGUAAAACGUAGGUGGCUAGCGUUAUCCGGAUUUACUGGGCGUAAAGCGCGUGCAGGCGGUUCGUUAAGUCGGGCGUGAAAUCUCCUGGCUCAACUGGGAGAGGCCGUCCGAGACUGGCGGACUUGAGGGCAGUAGAGGGCGGUGGAAUUCCCGGUGUAGUGGUGAAAUGCGUAGAUAUCGGGAGGAACACCAGUGGCGAAGGCGGCCGCCUGGACUGCUCCUGACGCUCAGACGCGAAAGCUAGGGGAGCGAACGGGAUUAGAAACCCCGGGUAGUCCUAGCCGUAAACGAUGCUGACUAGGUGUCGGUGGUAUUGACCCCAUCGGUGCCGUAGCUAACGUGUUAAGUCAGCCGCCUGGGGACUACGGCCGCAAGGUUAAAACUCAAAGGAAUUGACGGGGGCCCGCACAAGCAGCGGAGCGUGUGGUUUAAUUCGAUGCGACACGAAGAACCUUACCAGGAAUUGACAUGCAGGUAGUAGUGAAGCGAAAGCGGAACGAUCCCUCGGGAAGCCUGCACAGGUGUUGCAUGGCUGUCGUCAGCUCGUGCCGUGAGGUGUUUGGUUAAGUCCAGUAACGAGCGCAACCCCUGCCGCCAGUUACAUGUGUCUGGCGGGACUGCCGGUCUUAAGCCGGAGGAAGGUGGGGAUGACGUCAAGUCAGCAUGACCUUUAUACCCUGGGCUACACACACGCUACAAUGGGCGGUACAAUGGGUCGCUAAGCCGCGAGGCGGAGCCAAUCCUCCAAAACCGUCCUCAGUUCGGAUCGCAGGCUGCAACCCGCCUGCGUGAAGUCGGAGUUGCUAGUAACCGCGCGUCAGCCAUAGUGCGGUGAAUACGUUCCCGGGCCUUGUACUCACCGC